AUUGAACGCUGGCGGCAGGCCUAACACAUGCAAGUCGAACGAGUGGCGGACGGGUGAGUAAUGUCUGGGAAACUGCCUGAUGGAGGGGGAUAACUACUGGAAACGGUAGCUAAUACCGCAUACCAUCAGAUGUGCCCAGAUGGGAUUAGCUUGUUGGUGGGGUAACGGCUCACCAAGGCGACGAUCCCUAGCUGGUCUGAGAGGAUGACCCGCCACACUGGAACUUAGAAACGGUCCAGACUCCUACGGGAGUCAGCAGUGGGGAAUAUUGCACAAUGGGCGCAAGCCUGAUGCAGCCAUGCCGCGUGUAUUAAGAAGGCCUUCGGGUUGUAAAGUACUUUCAGCGGGGAGGCGUUACCCGCAGAAGAAUCACCGGCUAACUCCGUGCCAGCAGCCGCGGUAAUUC
RNAcentral lists this ribosomal RNA (406 nucleotides) under uncultured bacterium. RNAcentral describes it as "partial 16S ribosomal RNA". It matches the Rfam family "Bacterial small subunit ribosomal RNA", at positions 30 to 526 of the family's 1533-position model. The record is from RNAcentral.